CUGGUGCCAGCAGCCGCGGUAACUCCAGCUCCAAUAGCGUAUAUUAAAGUUGCUGCAGUUAAAAAGCUCGUAGUUGGAUCUUGACGGCACUGCCGCUGGUCUCUGGCGUUGGUAUCCGCCACUGGCUUCGGUCGGUGUGUUUGGGUGCUGCGUCACUGGCUAGUUGGUGGUGCAGUCUUUCAGCCGUGUCUGUGUCCCUCGUGGGCUCAGGUGCUGACUGCCUGGUUGGCUUUCCUGUCGACUGGCAGCUGGUACGCUCUACGAUCCGCUUUAUUGUGUGUCGUGGUGCGGGCGGCAUGUUUACUUUGAACAAAUUUGAGUGCUCAAAGCAGGCCAAUGUGUCUGAAAAGUCUUGCAUGGAAUAAUAGAAUAGGACUUCAGUUCUAUUUUGUUGGUUUUCGGAUCUGAAGUAAUGGUUAAGAGAGACAGACGGG
Molecule: ribosomal RNA, 434 nt
Filed under: Pedocotyle annakohni
Lineage: Eukaryota; Metazoa; Platyhelminthes; Monogenea; Mazocraeidea; Diclidophoridae
Description: bacterial SSU rRNA
Rfam family: Eukaryotic small subunit ribosomal RNA
Source: RNAcentral